UUUGACAGAGACUUCGGUUGAAGUCGUUAUAAUCCUAGUGGCGGACGGGUGAGUAACGCGUGGGUAACCUGCCUCACACUGGGGGAUAACAGUCAGAAAUGACUGCUAAUACCGCAUAAGCGCACGGGAUUGCAUGAUCCAGUGUGAAAAACUCCGGUGGUGUGAGAUGGACCCGCGUUGGAUUAGCCAGUUGGCAGGGUAACGGCCUACCAAAGCGACGAUCCAUAGCCGGCCUGAGAGGGUGGACGGCCACAUUGGGACUGAGACACGGCCCAGACUCCUACGGGAGGCAGCAGUGGGGAAUAUUGCACAAUGGGGGAAACCCUGAUGCAGCGACGCCGCGUGAAGGAAGAAGUAUCUCGGUAUGUAAACUUCUAUCAGCAGGGAAGAAAAUGACGGUACCUGACUAAGAAGCCCCGGCUAACUACGUGCCAGCAGCCGCGGUAAUACGUAGGGGGCAAGCGUUAUCCGGAUUUACUGGGUGUAAAGGGAGCGUAGACGGAGCAGCAAGUCUGAUGUGAAAGGCGGGGGCUCAACCCCCGGACUGCAUUGGAAACUGUUGAUCUUGAGUACCGGAGAGGUAAGCGGAAUUCCUAGUGUAGCGGUGAAAUGCGUAGAUAUUAGGAGGAACACCAGUGGCGAAGGC
RNAcentral lists this ribosomal RNA (646 nucleotides) under uncultured Lachnospiraceae bacterium. Its description in RNAcentral is "bacterial SSU rRNA". It matches the Rfam family "Bacterial small subunit ribosomal RNA", at positions 67 to 722 of the family's 1533-position model. The record is from RNAcentral. Lineage: Bacteria; Bacillati; Bacillota; Clostridia; Lachnospirales; Lachnospiraceae.